GAUAAAAUAUGUUAUCCAUGAGUGGUGGAGUUCCAGGAAUCUUUGAGACUUUAUCAGAAAGAAAGAGAGAGAGAAAAUGAAAAAAAAGAGGAAGGUGGAUGAAUGACUAGUCUUACAAGUAAAUAUGCUAGUGGGAGGAGAGUCCGCGUUCGUGAACCUGCGAAUGAGAAAACGAAAAGUCGACCAGGCCAAUGUUAAUGUCCGUUUGAGCGUUAAUUUGGUCUGGUCGGUUCAAUCGGACGGUUUACGCGGAUACGAAUCGGUCUGGAACACCGACAAAAGGGCCUCAUUUUUUCCAUUUUGUUUCCCUUCGAGAGCUCCUUCCACCGAACCCUACCCUUCAUCGGCGGCAAUAGAGUUCUGGCGGUUGAUCGACGGCGACAAUGAAACCUCCGGCGGCAAUGUUUUCUUCUCUCUUCUUCUUCUUCUCCUCUUUUCAUCGUCUUCUCCGAUGGAAAUCUCAAUUUGGAAAUUAAGGUCUUGCUGUUGUGAUAAGUCUACAGAACAUUUGGAUGGAUGGAUGCAACCAAUCAGUUCGAAAAAUUCAACAAAUUCAACAAAUCCCUAAUCUCUGAAUGCUCUGUUUUCCGAUAUUGUUAAACCCUAAAAUUUCCUUCUGAUAAGCAAUUGCUGCAUCUACCAUAUGCCAUAUGAUGCUUAGAUAUUCAGUCUGAAUACUCUGAUUCUUCUUUUCUUCUUUUUUUUUUGAUAUAUAAUCAGGUUUAGGACCGUAUACUAGCACCGGAUGUAAUUCGCUCUUUCUGUUUCUGGAGUGGAGUCCUCACUCACGCUCAUCUAUUACUGUGUUUCAGUACUGGUCCUACCACCCCUUCAGAUUGGACCUAUCAUCAGAGAAGACGAAAAAGAAGAGGAGAAGAAGAAAAAUGAUCGCCGGCCCUACCACCGGAGUUACUUGUCGAAGAAGAAGAAGAGAAGAGGAGAAGAAGAAUGCAUUUCUUCCGGAGGUUUUUUUGUCGCCGUCGAUAAACCGCCGGAGCUCUAUCGCCGCUGAUAGAGAAAGAGUUUGGUGUAUGAAUAGGAUUCGGUGGAAGAAGCUCUCAGGAAAACAGAAUCAAAGAAACUAGGCCCUUUUGUCCCAAACCGGUUCGUAUCCGCGUAAACCAUCCGAUUGAGUCAACCAGACCACGUUAACGCUCAAACGGACAUUAAUGUUGGCCUGGUCGACGUAUCAUUCUCUCAUUCGCGGGUUCACGAACGCGUGACUCGUGGGAGGAAGUGUGAAUGUUGGAUUUCUUUAUAUAUUUAAGCUUUUGUUUUUUUUUUUUUCUUCGACAUCUUACCCAAAUCUCCACCGCUGUCUCUUUCUCUUAUCUGGACUCAAGACCUUCAUCAAGCCGCCCUCGUGGUCACUCUCGUUAUCUCGUCAACCAACUAUAAAAAUUUUGAUGGCUGGUGUCACUAUCUUUAGUUGCCAAAUAUCUCCAAACCCUUUAGUUUCUUUCUUCCUAUAAUUAGCAAACCAAUCAUCUUGCCAUUGGUUGUGUGAUAAAGAGUGUAACGUAGCUGAAAAUGCAAGCAGUUCCCACAGCCUGCAUUAAUUAUCAGAAAAGAGGCGGUGAUAGCGAGUUCGAAUUGGCUCCCCACACCAACACACCUCACAGCAUAUCUCAGUGUGCAUUGGAUGCGGUGAAAGAUGUUUUCAAUACAUGAUUGGGAUAUACUACUGAGCUCUCCAUGAAGAAUUCAUACAAUUAUGCGAAUUUAGCUAUGGCUGCGUCCAAUUUAUUGGAAAAUUUUCCAAAUUGAAACUGUGGCAAAUUAAUGUAUAAAGGGAUGUCAAGGGAGAUGAUCACUCUAACCUCUGAUACUUUUAGCAUCAA
Long non-coding RNA from Nelumbo nucifera (sacred lotus), 1841 nucleotides. RefSeq lists it as uncharacterized. NCBI's taxonomy places the organism in Eukaryota, Viridiplantae, Streptophyta, Magnoliopsida, Proteales, Nelumbonaceae. The record is from RefSeq and is a predicted model, not a curated record.